RNAcentral lists this ribosomal RNA (494 nucleotides) under uncultured bacterium. Its description in RNAcentral is "bacterial SSU rRNA". It matches the Rfam family "Bacterial small subunit ribosomal RNA", at positions 23 to 518 of the family's 1533-position model. The record is from RNAcentral.
CUCAGGACGAACGCUGGCGGCGUGCCUAACACAUGCAAGUCGAGCGGAGAUUUCGGGGGAGCUUGCUCCACUGGAAUUUCAGCGGCGGACGGGUGAGUAACGCGUGAGCAACCUGCCUUCAACAGGGGGAUAACGCAUCGAAAGAUGUGCUAAUACCGCAUGAGACCACAACAUCACAUGGUGAAGGGGUCAAAAGGAGCAAUCCGGUUGAAGAUGGGCUCGCGUCCGAUUAGCUGGUUGGUGAGACAACAGCCCACCAAGGCGACGAUCGGUAGCCGACCUGAGAGGGUGAUCGGCCACAUUGGAACUGAGAUACGGUCCAGACUCCUACGGGAGGCAGCAGUGGGGAAUAUUGGGCAAUGGGCGAAAAAGCCUGACCCAGCAACGCCGCGUGAGGGAAGAAGGGUUUCGGCUCGUAAACCUCUGUCCUGUGGGACGAAGGAAGUGACGGUACCACAGGAGGAAGCCCCGGCUAACUACGUGCCAGCCGCUGC